RNAcentral lists this transfer RNA (73 nucleotides) under Paulasterias sp. SS-2022. RNAcentral describes it as "tRNA-Leu". It matches the Rfam family "tRNA". Rfam says of the family: Transfer RNA (tRNA) molecules are approximately 80 nucleotides in length. Lineage: Eukaryota; Metazoa; Echinodermata; Asteroidea; Forcipulatida; Paulasteriidae. The record is from RNAcentral.
GUUAGGGUAGCAAAAAGGUUAAUGCAAGAAGUCUAAGUUUUCUCUACUAAGAGUUCAAUUCUCUUCCUUAAUU